This 468-nucleotide ribosomal RNA is filed under the name uncultured bacterium. RNAcentral's name for it is "bacterial SSU rRNA". It matches the Rfam family "Bacterial small subunit ribosomal RNA", at positions 8 to 524 of the family's 1533-position model. The record is from RNAcentral.
AGAGUUUGAUCCUGGCUCAGAACGAACGCUGGCGGCAGGCUUAACACAUGCAAGUCGAACGCACCGCAUGGUGAGUGGCAGACGGGUGAGUAACGCGUGGGAACCUUCCCUUUGGUACGGAAUAACUUCGGGAAACCGAAGCUAAUACCGUAUAUCUCCUGCGGGAGAAAGAUUUAUCGCCAAAGGAUGGGCCCGCGUUGGAUUAGCUAGUUGGUGUGGUAAUGGCGCACCAAGGCGACGAUCCAUAGCUGGUCUGAGAGGAUGAUCAGCCACACUGGGACUGAGACACGGCCCAGACUCCUACGGGAGGCAGCAGUGGGGAAUAUUGGACAAUGGGGGCAACCCUGAUCCAGCCAUGCCGCGUGAGUGAAGAAGGCCUUAGGGUUGUAAAGCUCUUUUGGCGGGGACGAUAAUGACGGUACCCGCAGAAUAAGCCCCGGCUAACUUCGUGCCAGCAGCCGCGGUAAU